AUGCAUAUACAAAUCUACUGGUUGGGGACUUUUCUAAUGUCUCCAUUUGUUUCCCUCCAAACCAAUUUUGUAAACAAACAAACAAACAAAAUGUUUUCAUGGAAUUUAUUUACUAAUUUUACUCGUAAAAACAAAUAAUUAACACCAAUCAAUGAGUAUCUGGAUGAUUUAAAAAGGUGGACAACAUUGUUAAGAGCCAGAAUUAGCAAAAUGUUGACCUCUAAAAUAUAA
Molecule: long non-coding RNA, 231 nt
Filed under: Prunus dulcis (almond)
Lineage: Eukaryota; Viridiplantae; Streptophyta; Magnoliopsida; Rosales; Rosaceae
Description: sRNA ncRNA
Source: RNAcentral